Gadus macrocephalus (Pacific cod) is the source of this 584-nucleotide long non-coding RNA. RefSeq lists it as uncharacterized. NCBI's taxonomy places the organism in Eukaryota, Metazoa, Chordata, Actinopteri, Gadiformes, Gadidae. The transcript is spliced from 3 exons. The record is from RefSeq and is a predicted model, not a curated record.
CCUGCGCUUUUGGCUGCACACCCGAUAAAUAAAUGAAAUGUGCUGAACCCCUGUCCUCUAUCUUGUGGUUGUAGGUGCGUGUUUGGCAGGGUUUUACUGUUCUGGGGGUGCAGACAGCCCAGCGCCCCGUGCCAACCCAUCCUUGUUCAGCAGUCUGAUCCGGGCGUUGGCAGAUAAUACCACAGCGCUGGAGUACUUAUGGACCCGCAAUCAUUCCUGCUUCAACUGCCCUGAUGUCUGUGGUCCAGCUGGAUGGGGAAAUGAGAGCAUGCAGUCAAUGAGGGUUUCUGACCUCCUAUUCAGCCAGCUGAUGCUCUGUCUCAAGGCUUCGGCUCCCGCUUCAAUUACACACAAGGGAGACAUCUGCCCCAGGGGUUUCUACUGUCCGUCAGGGUCUUCCCAGCCGCGGCCCUGUGACGCAGGCUCUUACUGUAACACCACGGGGCUGGCUGCCCCGGGGGGUCUCUGCGGGGCAGGCUACCACUGUACCAGGGGCUCCGCGGACCCCCACGCCCUCCCGUGCCCUGCCGGACACUACUGCCCCCGGGGAAGCCCCGAGCCCCUGCCCUGCCCCGUCGGAACCA